UCCGGUUUGUCACCGGCAGUCCCAUUAGAGUGCCCAACUAAAUGUAGCAACUAAUGGCAAGGGUUGCGCUCGUUGCGGGACUUAACCCAACAUCUCACGACACGAGCUGACGACAGCCAUGCAGCACCUGUGUCCAGGUUCCCUUUCGGGCACACUCCCAUCUCUGAGAACUUCCUGACAUGUCAAGGGUAGGUAAGGUUUUUCGCGUUGCAUCGAAUUAAUCCACAUCAUCCACCGCUUGUGCGGGUCCCCGUCAAUUCCUUUGAGUUUUAAUCUUGCGACCGUACUCCCCAGGCGGCGAACUUCACGCGUUAGCUACGGCACGGAAUCCGUCAAUAGAAUCCCACACCUAGUGCCCAACGUUUACGGCGUGAACUAC
Molecule: unclassified non-coding RNA, 379 nt
Filed under: uncultured Gammaproteobacteria bacterium
Lineage: Bacteria; Pseudomonadati; Pseudomonadota; Gammaproteobacteria
Description: contains 16S-23S intergenic spacer region
Source: RNAcentral